This 1887-nucleotide ribosomal RNA is filed under the name Triticum aestivum (bread wheat). RNAcentral's name for it is "partial small subunit ribosomal RNA". Lineage: Eukaryota; Viridiplantae; Streptophyta; Magnoliopsida; Poales; Poaceae. The record is from RNAcentral.
AUGGAGAAAGGGGACAAAGAUAGUGAUUCCGUCAACAAAGCCAUCGAAGACCUGUACAACGCUGUAUGCAAGCCAUGGACACAGAGAGAAAUGGAUGAGCUUUUCAUUACAACGAACAAGUUUGAUGUCAAUCUAGGCCAUGUCGCCAAAAGUUUCAAGGUCGGUAAAUCAGUACGCACCGAAGCAAUCGAGCCCAUGCUAACAAUCUUGAGAAAACAACUAAAUGGCACAGGGAGAAAGAUUCUGUCAUUAAGCAACACUUUCCUUCUACCAUGUUCGUUGCACGGGUUUGAGCAAGACGAAAAUACAAGUCAUUACUUCACCAUUACAGUUAACAUGCAAAAACAGCGCUUUGAACUCCUUGACUCUUCAACUGCAUAUCCAGGCACAAUAGAAUUCUUCAACAAUGUAACCAGCAAAUUAAUGAAAAUAUGGAAGCACGUAAGCACAGAGCUACAGCUUUCACAAAGAAGCAUCGACCAUUUCAAAAGGGUCAAACUGCAGGUGCCACUUCAAGGACAAGACACAAUGGACUGCGCAUUCUAUAUGUACAUGAACCUGAAGCACUACUCCAAUGAUGGAACAGCAGCAAACUUAGAGCCGGAACAAGUACCAGAGUUGAGGAAAAAAAUUCUAUAUCAACUAAUCAGUCAACACAGAGGGAAUACUAAACUGUCAUUAAUCAAGUGUACAACAGAUAUGCUGAAGUAUGAAGUCGAUAUGGGAGACAAAGAAAUGCAACAGACAGAAUGUUGCGUACUAGAAGAGUUUCCGCCAAAUCCAGAGCCAAAAGAACAUAUUAUGCAUGCGACAACCACAAAAAAGCAUGAAGUUAUUGAUAUAUCCAGUAAACACAAAGAGGUUAUGGAUGUCAGCAGCCACGCCGUCGCCCAAGAAUCUUGCACAGACCACGAAGAAAAGGAUCCACCAAUAGAACCACAUCAACCACCACCAGACGACAAGAUACCACACCAUGCUGAAGAUGGAACGGACGAGCAAAAUAUCAAGAGCAAUAUCCUGAGCACAGAGCAACUAACAGGCACUGAUUUAAAAGAGGAUGUCAGAAGCAACGACGCACCAAAUACACAACAACAGGUUUCUGAGCAGAAGAAACAGCAUGUUCUUCUUCAAGAAGAAACAGGCUCAACAAGCAAUCAGCAAGGCACCUCCAGCACCAUCUCUCUAGAAUUCCUAAAACCCAAAACAAUGGAAAAGCAAGAAGAAUUUCAUGAAUUUCUUUCAAGCCUUAACCCGCUCCAACUAGACGAAUACAACGAGCAUGUAAAGAUGGGCGUUGAAUUGGACGUAAUCAAAACAUGGCUGAAUGACCAUGAAAGCUAUGAAUUCGACAAAGAUGCCAAGCCGUAUCUGACAAUCUUGCAGCAAGAAUCAGGAGAACAUUCAGUGCCUCAAUCAUCUGAGAACAGCUCAGACAAGAAAAUCUCAGUCAAGAAGAGACCGGUAAAGCCUUCAAGAAGGCUCCAUGGAAAAAUCAUGAUUCCUACUUUUGUCCCAGGAGAUUUCAAAUUUAUGAACAAAGCCAUAGCACUUCAUGAAUACCUAUUCAGCAAAGAAGGACAGGACGAAUGCGGAGAUGUAAACGUAUAUAUUAGCUCGAAGCGACCCAAUUGGAUUACAGGAAAACAAAUAAUGGAACAGCUACAGAAAGGAGAUAAUGGACAGAUGGAGGGCUCCAUCGCAAACGCAUUGUUCGAAGAAUGGACAGUGCAGCAACAAUACAACACAACCGAUAAAGCCAUACUUCCCGCAGAAUUUGCAAACAUCGUGCUCGGUGUUAAAAUUGGAGAAAAAGGAGGACUAGCAGAAUUCAAUGAAGACGAAGCAUUGAAACAGUUUGCACCCCUUGUAACAGGGAAGGACUUUUAA